UUAAUCCUGCGAUGAUCGUCAACUCAGGAUGUCUUAAACCGAUGUUGUUUUUUAGGGAAUUUUAUAAUCUGAACUAGACAAUAGGCCUUGAUUGCUAGGGGACAUUGGAAGGUUUGGUGCGAAUGCCCACCUGCGAGAGCGGGUUUUAAGACACUUAGAGUAACGACAGAGUGGGAGCAUU
Molecule: non-coding RNA, 181 nt
Filed under: Evansella vedderi
Lineage: Bacteria; Bacillati; Bacillota; Bacilli; Caryophanales; Bacillaceae
Description: 6S / SsrS RNA
Rfam family: 6S / SsrS RNA
About the family: E. coli 6S RNA was the first non coding RNA to be sequenced, but its function was unknown until recently. It consists of 184 nucleotides that fold into an extended hairpin structure with a large single-stranded internal bulge.
Source: RNAcentral